CUGUCUUGUAUUCAUUUACAACAAAAAAACGAAUCGUCCCAUCGUUCACUUAACGGAGUCGGCUCAGAGCCGACUCGUUCGCAAACGACACAUCACUACUCUGCAGAUGGACAUAUCUCAAGGCGUAGUGACUCCCUGUGCCAGAGACCUCAGCCAGGACUGCACAAGUAUGAUCAUGCCCUCUGGUGUCUCCAGCUUCUUGCUGGAUUGUAUGGAUUCAGACUUGGAAGCAGGUGACGCACAACCAUCCAUUGAGACUUUUUGCAAAGCUGAUACUUCUGAUGAGGGAACAGGUCUGGUCAGUGAAGAUGAAAUGCUGCACUGCUGUAUCAGGAACUCAACGCUUCUCAGUUUCAGUGACGCUGUGAAUAUCGGAAUGCAGCAUCCUCCAAACCUCUCCUCCAUUCUGGAGCUGUCACCUGUUACUGAUGGACAAACUGCAAAAGGCUCAUUUUCUCUGCCCUUCCUUCAACCUGUGUCACCUCUUGGCUCCUCUGCUUUGGUUGGGCUAUGUGAUAAUUUGACAUCCCCAAAGAAUACCUCAGGAGGUAAAGGCAAAACCACUGGAGUUGAAGAAAGGACUCCUGUAACCAAGAUAACUGCAGCAUUUUCUCCUGCUGUAAAAAAAAAGCCUCUUAUAGGAAAACGUAAGCCCAUAAAAUGCAGAAAGGUGACCUUCAGUGAUGUCAACAGCACACAGGCCAUAUCAGUGCUUAAUCCUGGUUCGGUGAAACCUCAGAGAAGAGCCUAUAAUGUCCAUAAGAAUGACAUGAGAAGCAACACCAAUGAGCCUUCUUCGGAGACAGCAAGGUUUUUUGACUUUGCUGAUGAAUGCGAGAAGGAAACUUUUUUUCAAAGACUGAAGCUGACCUACACUUUUCAGUUUCCCUCUAAACCGAUUACCUUCCCAGACCGGCCGAAGACAGAGGAUGUGUGAGCCCUGUUUUGUGAUCAGCAAACCAGGACCUACCUCAGCGAGCUUGGAGGGUGAAAUCCAUUUAAAUCUACUUCAGUAUUAAGCGUAAUAACAGUUUUCAGACAUUAGAAACCACACUCAGUGUGUCACAUGGUAUGAGUCAUAUGCUACAUUAAAAAUAUAUACUUACUUAUUAUACUAUAUUUACUUGUUUACUUGAGGAGAAAAACAUUUGGUUACAGGGUAGUAAAUUUUGUUUUAUUAUGUGUCUGGUGUAAAUAAAUUAAAGAUUUUUUUUGUUCAGUGUGAGAACACCGCUAAUGCUUAGUGUACAUACAUUACAUGGUUUCAUUUUCUACAGGAGCCACUUUUAUGGUAUUUAAGUGGUAUCAUUAAUAGUGAGCACUAGGAUGGAUGGAGCAAUGAAUGAGUGCAGAGUAGUGAAUGGAUUUUGCAGAGAAGCUUCCGAGCAUAAGUGCUGAAUACAGAGACACAUUUGCAGGUCACGCUCUGCUCCCCAUUCUGCAGAGACGGAUCAGGUCAAUGUAGUUGUUACUCAAACACAAAAUUAGUUUACAGUUAUUCAAAGAUAAAUAAGCAAAAGCUAAACCAUUCAAGAAAAUGUACUGAUGGACGUAUUGACAUUCAUAAUGCUUUGUGAAGGUUAAUUAUGUUUAGUGAUUGAUAUAU
Long non-coding RNA from Ictalurus punctatus (channel catfish), 1606 nucleotides. Lineage: Eukaryota; Metazoa; Chordata; Actinopteri; Siluriformes; Ictaluridae. The record is from Ensembl.